This 529-nucleotide ribosomal RNA is filed under the name bacterium O1(2012). Its description in RNAcentral is "bacterial SSU rRNA". It matches the Rfam family "Bacterial small subunit ribosomal RNA", at positions 78 to 599 of the family's 1533-position model. The record is from RNAcentral.
GCUUGCUUUCUUUGCUGACGAGCGGCGGACGGGUGAGUAAUGCCUGGGAAAUUGCCCUGAUGUGGGGGAUAACCAUUGGAAACGAUGGCUAAUACCGCAUGAUGCCUACGGGCCAAAGAGGGGGACCUUCGGGCCUCUCGCGUCAGGAUAUGCCCAGGUGGGAUUAGCUAGUUGGUGAGGUAAGGGCUCACCAAGGCGACGAUCCCUAGCUGGUCUGAGAGGAUGAUCAGCCACACUGGAACUGAGACACGGUCCAGACUCCUACGGGAGGCAGCAGUGGGGAAUAUUGCACAAUGGGCGCAAGCCUGAUGCAGCCAUGCCGCGUGUAUGAAGAAGGCCUUCGGGUUGUAAAGUACUUUCAGUCGUGAGGAAGGGGGUAUCGUUAAUAGCGGUAUUCUUUGACGUUAGCGACAGAAGAAGCACCGGCUAACUCCGUGCCAGCAGCCGCGGUAAUACGGAGGGUGCGAGCGUUAAUCGGAAUUACUGGGCGUAAAGCGCAUGCAGGUGGUUCGUUAAGUCAGAUGUGAAA